GAAAAAGGACAAGAAGUGAGGGGACGGGUUUGGAGGAGACGAUGGUCAGGUCCUCUGCAGCCAGGCUACAUCGUUAACACUUAGGGAAACUAAGCCAAGCUAUAAAUGAAGACAUCUCCUGCAGUCUCACAUACCAACAGCUACAUGGCAAGUUAUUCAGUGACUCCAAUUUGGAUGCCAGCCACAGCAUUCCUGGGAUCUUUUGCCACUUAAAUGAGUUGAGGCUUGGACAUGGGGCAUGGCAAGGGCAUGGGAAGUCAAGGUUCAGAGAAGGCAAGUGACGCUAAGAUAGCAGAGCGCUUAGGAAUAGCCACUCAAGGAUGCAGUUCCCUAGCCCAAAGCCCCACCAAACUGUGGGAGGAUUUACCGUGCUUCUAUCAGACAGAAAAGUGCAUGGAGAAGGCUGUAAGGAAGGGAGUUCAAACCACCUCCCAGCUAUGACUCACCCCGGGGCACCAACUCCUGAGCAGAGACAGAAGAGCGGCUAAGAUGCCCCAGCCAACCCCCAUGUGCUUUAUCAGUCCAGAGGGAGUACAAAGCUGGACCCCAAGAGGUUUGGUGUCUCGGGGAGAGAAAGAAGGGGCCCUGGUGGUGCCCCCUGGUUGCUGUUGCUGGCCUGCCAGUCACCUCUGGCCCUGCCAGCCUCCUUCCCUUCCUCCAGCCCUCAUUAUACGGGGUACCCAAAGUUGAGAGGACGCUGCCCUGCUUGAGGGGCAUCCGAUCUAGAAGUGCAGCGAGAAGCAGCCCAAAGGCCUGGGCUGUGCUGGCAUCGCAGAAUCUGGGCACCACUGCCCCCUGGUGGUGAUCUAAGACUUCUCCGUGUCUGGGCACCCCCACAUCAGGUCGCAGAGCAAAUCCCUGAACCCAAGGGGCCCACAUCUGGUCUGACUUUUUUACAGAGGGAGAAAACAAGUCUCAAGAGAGUAGUGCCAGGGAAGGAGGAGACCAAAUUUGGUCUAAAACAGCCCUCACAGUUUGCAGCCUGGCUCUGUUUCUCACUGGUAUAAGAUUCCAGACAAGUGGCCUCACCUAUCCACUGAGAAUUGGCCCCAGGGUCUCGUACACGCUAGGCAAGGAGCACAAAUAAAGUUCAGAGCACAAAGUGGGAGGUGGAGUGGAAGGCCCUCCCAACAACAAGCUGGAACCCUGGACAGCCAUACCCUUGGAGGGCUCAAACUCACGACUGCGUGCUUGCAAAGUAGGCGCUUAUGCCGCUGAGCUAAGUCCUCAGCCCCCUCAAGCCUUGAACUUGCAUGGAGGUGACCUGAGAUCAGUUAUGCUUUGGGCUCCUGAGAGAACCAAAUGGAAAUCUUUCAAGGGAGAUGUCCUGAACCUAGAUUCCACAUUAGUCAUAUAAAUAAAAUCUCAAGCACAACGCAAGCACAUGGUAAAAGACAGUCAAGCACAGGAAACAAAACUCCAUGACAAGAACCAGAAGAGACAGGAGAUAACAAAGACCAACCCAGAAAGAAUUUAAACACUGGAAUUAUUUUUACAUAGAAUAUACAACAGAUACACUGAAACAAAAGAUUAGCUCAAACCGGGGACCAUAAAAAGUGACCAUGGAUUUGAAAAAAGGCAAAUCUGAACUUCUAGAAUUGAAUAAUACAGUAAUUAAAAGUAAAAUGCAAGUUUAUAUCAGACUGGGCAUAGCUUAAAAAAGAAUUGGCAAUUUGAAAGUCAGAAAAAAUGAUCUGGAAUGACCAUGAGGAGACAGAAAGUGUAAAAAAUACAGAAGAAAUGAUUUUAAAAAAUGGAAAAAUCAAUGACAAUAAGCAUUUACCAUUUCUUUGACUGAAAUAAAAACAGAUAAAAUAAUACACAGUGAAAAAGUGAUAUUUGAAAAACCAGUAGCUGAAAAAUUCCCAGGUCUGAUUAGACAUUGAUCUAUAGAUUCAUAAAGCCAAAAAAAUCCUAACUCAGACACAAUUUUUAAAAAUUAGGCUCAGAUGGGCCAGGGGUUUAGCUCAGCGGCGUAAGUGCCUGCUUGGCAAACGUGAGGUCGUAAAUUCAAUCCCUGGUACAAAAAAAAAAAAAAAAAAAAAAUCAGGCUCCGAAAAACCUACGUGCUAUGUGCCCCCCGCUAUGGCACUGUGGAAAAGGUGAAACCUUGGAAAUGAUAACAAUGCCAGUGGUCGCCAGGGCUUAGGGCAAGGAACAUGGA
This is a long non-coding RNA of Cavia porcellus (domestic guinea pig), 2164 nucleotides long. RefSeq lists it as uncharacterized. Lineage: Eukaryota; Metazoa; Chordata; Mammalia; Rodentia; Caviidae. The transcript has 6 exons. The record is from RefSeq and is a predicted model, not a curated record.